This is a long non-coding RNA of Canis lupus familiaris (dog), 584 nucleotides long. RefSeq lists it as uncharacterized. The transcript has 3 exons. The record is from RefSeq and is a predicted model, not a curated record. Lineage: Eukaryota; Metazoa; Chordata; Mammalia; Carnivora; Canidae.
UAAAGCUACGCACCUGGCCCAGAAAGCUUUCACGCUUCUGAAAAAAAGCAGCUAUUAGUUUCACUUGCAGGAUGCAGGACGUGGCUACAACAGGGGGAGCCCCACUGCCGCCCCAGAAAAGUCGCUGCUGGCCCCAGGGAUGGGAGAGUAGUUGGGGGGGAGAAGGAGUCUUGUGCCAAUAGGAAGUCACGCUACGCUCCUCCCUCCCUACGGCGUUUAUCCAAGCCAGGCAAGUACUUUCCAAUAAAGGAUUUUGAUGAUGAUGAAGAAGAUGAAGAAGAAGAAUGAAGAAGAGGAGGAGUCUUCCAAAAUGGAUAAAGGAAAGCAGCCCUAGCAUGGAAGACUCAUCAUGUGAAGGAGAACCUACAGAUGCAAGAUCUGCCCCAGCUCUGCCAUUAACCUGGGUGCCCUUCCCUUCCCCUGUCUGAGCCUGUUUUCUCAUUACCAACAGAACAAGUCAAUCUCAUACAUAUCUUUUCACCCAGUCUAGUCCAUCUUUUUGUUAUCUAAUACCUGUCAUAUUUAUUAUUGUUUAUAGUUAUUAUUUAGGUCGAUAGGUAUUAAUAAAAGUGGAUUUCUAUUGA